RNAcentral lists this ribosomal RNA (454 nucleotides) under uncultured bacterium. RNAcentral's name for it is "partial 16S ribosomal RNA". It matches the Rfam family "Bacterial small subunit ribosomal RNA", at positions 28 to 507 of the family's 1533-position model. The record is from RNAcentral.
GAUGAACGCUGACAGAAUGCUUAACACAUGCAAGUCGACUUGAACUUCGGGUUGGGUGGCGGACGGGUUAGUAACGCGUAGAGAACUUGCCUCACAGCUAGGAACAACAUUUGGAAACGAAUGCUAAUACCUGAUAUUAUGAUUGUAGGGCAUCCUAGAAUUAUUAAAGCUAUAUGCGCUGUGAGAGAGCUUUGCGUCCCAUUAGCUAGUUGGAGAGGUAACGGCUCACCAAGGCGAUGAUGGGUAGCCGGCCUGAGAGGGUGAACGGCCACAAGGGGACUGAGACACGGCCCUCACUCAUACGGGCGGGAGGAGUGGGGAAUAAUGGAUAAAGGACCAAGAGUAUGAUCCAGCAAUUAUGUGUGGAAGAUGAAGUUUUUCGGAAUGUAAAGUGCUUUCAGUUGGGAAGAAAAAAAUGACGGUACCAACAGAAGAAGCUACGGCUAAAUCCGUG